AGUGGACGCUGGCGGUAGGCCUAACACAUGCAAGUCGAACGGCAGCACAGUAAGAGCUUGCUCUUACGGGUGGCGAGUGGCGGACGGGUGAGGAAUACAUCGGAAUCUACUUUUUCGUGGGGGAUAACGUAGGGAAACUUACGCUAAUACCGCAUACGACCUACGGGUGAAAGCAGGGGAUCUUCGGACCUUGCGCGAUUGAAUGAGCCGAUGUCGGAUUAGCUAGGUGGCGGGGUAAAGGCCCACCAAGGCGACGAUCCGUAGCUGGUCUGAGAGGAUGAUCAGCCACACUGGAAGUGAGACACGGUCCAGACUCCUACGGGAGGCAGCAGUGGGGAAUAUUGGGCAAUGGGCGCAAGCCUGAUCCAGCCAUACCGCGUGGGUGAAGAAGGCCUUAGGGUUGUAGAGCCCUUUUGUUGGGAAAGAAAAGCAGCAGGUUAAUACCCCGCUGUUCUGACGGUACCCAAAGAAUAAGCACCGGCUAACUUCGUG
This 492-nucleotide ribosomal RNA is filed under the name uncultured bacterium. Its description in RNAcentral is "partial 16S ribosomal RNA". It matches the Rfam family "Bacterial small subunit ribosomal RNA", at positions 29 to 507 of the family's 1533-position model. The record is from RNAcentral.